Long non-coding RNA from Cyprinodon tularosa, 153 nucleotides. RefSeq lists it as uncharacterized. The record is from RefSeq and is a predicted model, not a curated record. The transcript is spliced from 3 exons. Lineage: Eukaryota; Metazoa; Chordata; Actinopteri; Cyprinodontiformes; Cyprinodontidae.
CUUGUGUUUAUGAAAACAUUUAAGACUAGUACAUUAUUUAGCUCUUCAUAUACAUUUUAGCCACUAUUAAGAGCCGCUGUAGGGGGUCCAAAGAGCCGUAUGUGGCUCUAGAGCCGCAGGUUGCAGACCCCUGCCCUAGACCAAUCGGAUGGA